Spinacia oleracea (spinach) is the source of this 1552-nucleotide long non-coding RNA. RefSeq lists it as uncharacterized. The record is from RefSeq and is a predicted model, not a curated record. Lineage: Eukaryota; Viridiplantae; Streptophyta; Magnoliopsida; Caryophyllales; Amaranthaceae. The transcript is spliced from 6 exons.
UGGUUUCUUUGAAAGCUGAGUGUGGUUAGGCUCUCCCUCUCUUCGAAAUAGCUGCCGCCGUCAUGCUUCAACACAUCAUAAUGUUUCAUCGCCGCCGCCGUCGUUGAGUGAGUCCUGAAUUGUAACCUAACAUCAGAACUCGAAAGGUGAAUCUCUCGGCUUUAUUUGUGAUAUUUUAUUUGUGCGAUUGAAGAAGAAAAUGGGUCAGAUCCCAUACUCAGGCACAUAGUUCUUCCAAAGAAUCUCCUUAAGUCUGAGAUGCACUAUCUCUAUAUAUAUAAAGAGAGAACACGGUCUACAGAUGAUUCACUAUAUUAGAGGUAUGCUAUUCUGAAGCAAGUACUAACAAGAGUUUCAUAAUCAACUUGCUGCACCUUUUAGGACUGCUUUAGAUGUAUUGUAUGUUUUAGUAUCUUUUUAUUUCCGUACUCUUUUUUUAUUGGUUGAUAAAAUCAUAAGGUUUGACUGAAGCAUUGUUCAAUUAAAUGUUGUGGAUCACUGGAUUGGUAUGGCCAAUACAGAUUAGCGAGGACUACUAAUUUCUGCUUAAUUAUGGAUUAGUAGAAUAGAGAGAGGAUACAAACUCAGUACCUUUAACCUAAUUUUUUCCCCCUUAGAGUUAACUCAAAGAAGAAUUCUGAUUUUGGGAGCAGAUAUGAAUGUUCUGCACAUGAAAGAACUUAGAGAAGCAUGUUCAUGUUUACAUAUUUUACAGCAGUUGAACUUGAUUAAUAUAUAUCUUCUCUGUAGUGUCAUUCCCAGUUUGUUGGGACAAGAUGACAAGAUGCAAGUAACUGGGGCUAUUUAUCAUCUUUUCUAAUCCUUACUUUUGUAUUUCUUUUCGAAUAUUCUUUCAUUCGUUUUUUAUAUCCUAUUUUCACAAUUAUCUUAAUCAAAGCUGCAGUUCUUAACUAUGUUGUUGUACAAACAAUGGAACACCACACAUGACACCAAACCUGUUCUUCAAGACCCUGUAAUUAAUCUUCAUCAAUCUCACUAGACCCUGUAAUUUUUAAUUGAGAUUGUGAUUAAUAAUUGCAAGUUUAAAUUGUGAAUUAAUUUGAUUAUUGUUUUUGUUUGUUUUGGUGGUUAUUGAGUUCAGACCCAACUCAAGUUGAACAAGCAGUGUUGGAUUAGUAGUUAUUGUUGCUUAGCCAUUACUCUAUGACUUACUAUUCCAGAGUCCUUGGAGAGGCUAUUGUGAUCCUUUAUUGUAAAGUGAUAUGGACCCUCAUAGUAACCGGCCAGACAAAGGGAAACAAAUCAUUAUAAUAGAGCCAGGAGGAUCAAGAUAGUAGCUGGCCAGAGAAAGGGAAACAAAUCAUGAUAACAAUGAGUUCAUUAUAACAUUUGAUUAAUGAUUCAUAAUUAUGUUAUUUAAAAUCUGAAAGGAGAAACAGAAAUAGGACACCCAUGCAUUGGGUGUGAGUGACUGAGUGCUAACGAUGUUAAACAACCAAUGAUUGUAAAGGGAUGAGUAUUAGUGUAUUACAUUGUUGCAUUGUAUAAUAGAGAUAUUUUAAUAUAAAUGAUGCUUAAUGUUUCUUAUGAA